UGGUUCUGGCAUCGAUGAAGAACGCAGCAAAAUGCGAUAAGUAAUGUGAAUUGCAGAAUUCAGUGAAUCAUCGAAUCUUUGAACGCACAUUGCGCCCGCCAGUAUUCUGGCGGGCAUGCCUGUUCGAGCGUCAUUUCAACCCUCAAGCACAGCUUGGUGUUGGGAUUCGUGGAGCAAUCCACGGUCCCCAAAUCUAUUGGCGGUCACGUCGAGCUUCCAUAGCGUAGUAAUUACACCUCGUUACUGGUAAUCGUCGCGGCCACGCCGUUAAACCCCAACUUCUGAAUGUUGACCUCGGAUCAGGUAGGAAUACCCGCUGA
This 320-nucleotide unclassified non-coding RNA is filed under the name uncultured fungus. Its description in RNAcentral is "partial contains 5.8S ribosomal RNA and internal transcribed spacer 2". The stretch from base 1 to 133 matches the Rfam family "5.8S ribosomal RNA", at positions 22 to 154 of the family's 154-position model. Lineage: Eukaryota; Fungi. The record is from RNAcentral.